UCGAACGCAAAAGAUGGGGCAACUCCUCGAGUAUAUUGGCGAACGGGUGAUUAACGCGUGAAUAACCUGCCUUCCAUAGGGGGAUAACACUCCCAUCGGGGUGCUAAUACCGCACGAGACCACGGGGAUCACAUGGCCCUGUAUGUCAAAGGUGGCCUCUACUUGUAAGCUACCGCUUGAAGAUGGCUUCGCGUCCCAUUACCUACUUGGCGGUGUAACGGACCACCACGGCCACGAUUGGUACCUGGUCUGAGACGAUGGUCAUCCACACUGGGACUGAGAUACGGCCCAGACUCCUACGGGAGGCAGCAGUCGAGAGGCUUUGGCAAUGGGGGAAACCCUGACCAAGCGACGCCGCGUGGAGGAUGAAGGCCCUUGGGUUGUAAACUCCUUUUGUCGGGGAAGAAGUGCGAUCAGGUGAACAAUCUGGUCGUUUGACGGUACCCGACGAAUAAGCUCCGGCUAACUCCGUGCCAGCAGCCGCGGUAACACGGGGGGAGCAAGCGUUGUUCGGAAUCACUGGGCGUAAAGGGCGUGUAGGCGGAUAGGUAAGUGGAACGUGAAAUCCCUCGGCUCACCCGAGGACCUGCGUCCCAAACUGCCUGUCUUGAGUACGGGAGAGGAAGAGGGAAUUCCUGGUGUAGCGGUGAAAUGCGUAGAUAUCAGGAGGAACACCGGUGGCGAAGGCGCUCAUCUGGCCCGAUCCUGACGCUGAGGCGCGAAAGCUAGGGGAGCAAACGGGAUUAGAUACCCCGGUAGUCCUAGCCGUAAACGGUGAUCACUAGGUGUCGGAGGCAUCGACCCCUCCAGUGCCGCAGCUAACGCAUUAAGUGAUCCGCCUGGGGAGUACGGCCCGCAGGGUGAA
RNAcentral lists this ribosomal RNA (865 nucleotides) under uncultured bacterium. RNAcentral's name for it is "bacterial SSU rRNA". It matches the Rfam family "Bacterial small subunit ribosomal RNA", at positions 62 to 898 of the family's 1533-position model. The record is from RNAcentral.